RNAcentral lists this unclassified non-coding RNA (210 nucleotides) under Puccinia coronata. RNAcentral's name for it is "partial internal transcribed spacer 2". Lineage: Eukaryota; Fungi; Basidiomycota; Pucciniomycetes; Pucciniales; Pucciniaceae. The record is from RNAcentral.
AACCCUCUCACAAAACAACUUUAUUGUUGCUUUUUUUGUGGAUGUUGAGUGUUGCUAUAUAUUUAUAGCUCACUUUAAAUAUAUAAGUCACACUUUUCAAGUAAGUUGGAUUGACUUGGUGUAAUAAUUUUAUCAUCACAUCAAGGAAAGUAGCAAUACUUGCCAUCUUUUGAAAGGAGGGACUCCUAAAAAACCCCUCAUAACCUUUUU